This 158-nucleotide ribosomal RNA is filed under the name Curvularia sp. TSS-456. Its description in RNAcentral is "5.8S ribosomal RNA". It matches the Rfam family "5.8S ribosomal RNA". Rfam says of the family: 5.8S ribosomal RNA (5.8S rRNA) is a component of the large subunit of the eukaryotic ribosome. It is transcribed by RNA polymerase I as part of the 45S precursor that also contains 18S and 28S rRNA. Lineage: Eukaryota; Fungi; Ascomycota; Dothideomycetes; Pleosporales; Pleosporaceae. The record is from RNAcentral.
CAACUUUCAACAACGGAUCUCUUGGUUCUGGCAUCGAUGAAGAACGCAGCGAAAUGCGAUACGUAGUGUGAAUUGCAGAAUUCAGUGAAUCAUCAAAUCUUUGAACGCACAUUGCGCCCUUUGGUAUUCCAAAGGGCAUGCCUGUUCGAGCGUCAUUU